AUACUUCCUGGCAGAAGAGAGAGCAGGAUUCAGAAGGUGGUUCCCAAGGGUUCCUCCAUGACACUUGAGAUCUGCUCAUUCACACAUCACCCCUGUGGUUCUCCCCAGUGUGGGAAACUCAGCUGUGUAAUUUGUGGGAGUUGGGGGUGCGUUUAUGCUUUCCCCUA
This is a small nuclear RNA of Mesocricetus auratus (golden hamster), 167 nucleotides long. Its record names the gene U1. It matches the Rfam family "U1 spliceosomal RNA". Rfam says of the family: U1 is a small nuclear RNA (snRNA) component of the spliceosome (involved in pre-mRNA splicing). Its 5' end forms complementary base pairs with the 5' splice junction, thus defining the 5' donor site of an intron. NCBI's taxonomy places the organism in Eukaryota, Metazoa, Chordata, Mammalia, Rodentia, Cricetidae. The record is from Ensembl.